CGCAUAAUGCAGCGGCACCGCAUGGUGACAGCAAUGCUCUACGAGAUCGCAUUUUUCUCGCGCCUAAAGAGGAGCCUGUGGCGGAUUAGCUAGUUGGUAGGGUAACGGCCUACCAAGGCAACGAUCCGUAGCCGGCCUGAGAGGGCGGUCGGCCACACUGACACUGAAAUACGGGUCAGACU
RNAcentral lists this ribosomal RNA (182 nucleotides) under uncultured Acidobacteriota bacterium. Its description in RNAcentral is "uncultured Acidobacteria bacterium partial 16S ribosomal RNA". It matches the Rfam family "Bacterial small subunit ribosomal RNA", at positions 170 to 337 of the family's 1533-position model. The record is from RNAcentral. Lineage: Bacteria; Pseudomonadati; Acidobacteriota.